This 497-nucleotide ribosomal RNA is filed under the name uncultured bacterium. Its description in RNAcentral is "partial 16S ribosomal RNA". It matches the Rfam family "Bacterial small subunit ribosomal RNA", at positions 28 to 507 of the family's 1533-position model. The record is from RNAcentral.
GAUGAACGCUGGCGGCGUGCCUAAUACAUGCAAGUCGAGCGAACAGACGAGGAGCUUGCUCCUCUGACGUUAGCGGCGGACGGGUGAGUAACACGUGGAUAACCUACCUAUAAGACUGGGAUAACUUCGGGAAACCGGAGCUAAUACCGGAUAAUAUAUUGAACCGCAUGGUUCAAUAGUGAAAGACGGUUUUGCUGUCACUUAUAGAUGGAUCCGCGCCGCAUUAGCUAGUUGGUAAGGUAACGGCUUACCAAGGCAACGAUGCGUAGCCGACCUGAGAGGGGUGUCCGCCCCACCUGGACCUGGGCCCCGGCCCGACUCCCUCGGGAGGCCGCCGUUGGGAAGCUUUCCGCAUUGGCGAAAGCCUGACGGAGCAACGCCGCGUGAGUGAUGAAGGUCUUCGGAUCGUAAAACUCUGUUAUUAGGGAAGAACAAAUGUGUAAGUAACUAUGCACGUCUUGACGGUACCUAAUCAGAAAGCCACGGCUAACUACGUG